GACGAACGCUGGCGGCGUGCUUAACACAUGCAAGUCGAACGAGUGGCGAACGGGUGAGUAACACGUGGGUGAUCUGCCUUGCACUUGGGGAUAAGCUUGGGAAACUGGGUCUAAUACCGGAUAGUGCAAGAUGAGCUCGCGGACUAUCAGCUUGUUGGUGGGGUAAUGGCUACCAAGGCACGAGGGGUAGCCGGCCUGAGAGGGUGUGCGGCCACAUGGGGACUGGGAUACGGCCCAGACUCCUACGGGAGGCAGCAGGGGUGAAUUUUGCAAAAUGGGCGGAAGCCUGAUGCAGCGACGCCGCGUGGGGGAUAAUGGUCUUCGGAUUUUAAAGCUCUUUAAGUUUGGAGGCGUUACCGACAGAAUAAGCAACGGCUAACUCUGUGCCAGCAGCCGCGGUAAUAC
RNAcentral lists this ribosomal RNA (405 nucleotides) under uncultured bacterium. Its description in RNAcentral is "partial 16S ribosomal RNA". It matches the Rfam family "Bacterial small subunit ribosomal RNA", at positions 28 to 526 of the family's 1533-position model. The record is from RNAcentral.